Molecule: transfer RNA, 65 nt
Filed under: Hydroptila sp. XG-2021
Lineage: Eukaryota; Metazoa; Arthropoda; Insecta; Trichoptera; Hydroptilidae
Description: tRNA-Trp
Source: RNAcentral
AAGACUUUAAGUUAAUAAAACUAUUAAUUUUCAAAAUUAACAAUAAAGAUAUUUUUUAAGUCUUA